RNAcentral lists this ribosomal RNA (253 nucleotides) under uncultured bacterium. RNAcentral describes it as "partial 16S ribosomal RNA". It matches the Rfam family "Bacterial small subunit ribosomal RNA", at positions 524 to 776 of the family's 1533-position model. The record is from RNAcentral.
UACAGAGGGGGCAAGCGUUAUUCGGAAUUAUUGGGCGUAAAGGGCGCGUAGGCGGCCUGGCAAGUGGAAGGUGAAAUCCCUCGGCUUAACCGAGGAACUGCCCUCCAAACUGCUUGGCUUGAGUCCGGGAGAGGUGAGUGGAAUUCCAGGUGUAGCGGUGAAAUGCGUAGAUAUCUGGAGGAACACCGGUGGCGAAGGCGGCAUCCUGGACCGGUAUUGACGCUGAGGCGCGAAAGCUAGGGGAGCAAACGGG